This 520-nucleotide ribosomal RNA is filed under the name Arthrinium sp. PP93a. RNAcentral describes it as "eukaryotic LSU rRNA". The stretch from base 194 to 347 matches the Rfam family "5.8S ribosomal RNA". RNAcentral also lists the same sequence under 1 other name. The record is from RNAcentral. Lineage: Eukaryota; Fungi; Ascomycota; Sordariomycetes; Amphisphaeriales; Apiosporaceae.
UUGGUGAACCAGCGGAGGGAUCAUUAUAGAGUUAUAAAAAACUCCCAAACCCAUGUGAACUUACCUUUGUUGCCUCGGCGGAGCCUACCCUGUAGCUACCCUGUAAGGGCCUACCCUGUAGCGCACCCCGCCGGUGGACAUUCAAACUCUUGUUAUUUUAAAUGAAUCUGAGCGUCUUAUUUUAAUAAGUCAAAACUUUCAACAACGGAUCUCUUGGUUCUGGCAUCGAUGAAGAACGCAGCGAAAUGCGAUAAGUAAUGUGAAUUGCAGAAUUCAGUGAAUCAUCGAAUCUUUGAACGCACAUUGCGCCCAUUAGUAUUCUAGUGGGCAUGCCUGUUCGAGCGUCAUUUCAACCCUUAAGCCUAGCUUAGUGUUGGGAAUCUACUGUAUUGUAGUUCCUGAAAAACAACGGCGGAACUAUAGUGUCCUCUGAGCGUAGUAAUUCUUUAUCUCGCUUUUGUCAGGUGCUGUAGCUCUUGCCGCUAAACCCCCAAUUUCUUAUGGUUGACCUCGGAUCAGG